Molecule: long non-coding RNA, 565 nt
Organism: Ornithorhynchus anatinus (platypus)
Lineage: Eukaryota; Metazoa; Chordata; Mammalia; Monotremata; Ornithorhynchidae
Exons: 2
Source: RefSeq, a predicted model, not a curated record
CGUUUCUCUCACCUGGUCGGGCUCUUCUUGUCUCCCAUGGCUAGUCGGAUGGGGCCGGCCGGUGGGCCGCGGCUGAGCCUGCCUCGGCGCGUCGGCAGUGAUCUUAGCCGCACGGGCAAGCCACCCCGAUGUUCAACCCUUAUCCUGGGAUGCGGCGAUCUUAGCCGCACGGGCAAGCCACCCCGAUGUUCAACCCUUAUCCUGGGACGCGUCUGACUCGGAUCAAAGAAGGCCGAGGGAAGCGCGGAACCCGACGGGGUCACGAGGGCUUUUCCUGCCUAGCUGACGAACCAGCCUCCGGCCAAGUUUCGACACUGGAACCUAGAAGGCCGCUGGGUGACGACAGAAAGGCCGCAAACAUCAGUCCUAUCACCGCUCGACAUGAACGGGCCCAAAAGCGGACUCCACCUUAAGAAGGGAACUAUAAGAAGAAGCCAACCACUGGACCAGGCUCGCCACCUCCCUUAAGGGAUGGACGCCCGCUGCGUGCGUUACACCGAUUUGGCCUACCGGGGGUACUUGUAAUCAGUUGGAAUAAAGCUGCUCUUGUUUGCUAUUGGCUUGA